CCUCUGCACCAGACCACCACGGCCGCAAGGCCGAGGAAAGUCCGGGCACCCACGGGCCACCGGCCGGAGAAGAUCCGGGCUGGCUGCUCCAGCCAGACCAACAGGGCCACAGAAAAGAACCGCCCCUAGCAAUAGGGGUAAGGGUGAAAAGGUGGGGUAAGAGCCCACCGCUGCUUCCAGCAAUGGAACAGGCGUGAGUGUGUUCCGAUAUUCGCUGGACUGAGGCGAUUUUCGGGGUUUGCGAUGACCGAGCAGCGCCGCGUACUCAAUGUACGUAAGCCGCGCAGGGCAAGCAAAACCUGAAAAGCGACCAGCUCCAGUAGAAUAUCGGAGCACACUCGAAGGUAACCUGCCGGAGGGUGCAAUGCCGAAUAGGGACUCCCAGUGACGCGGUCCGCGUCCGAUGCCGCAAGGCGGAGGAGAGUCCGGGUUGGCAGCUCGAUGGCUUGCGCAAGCAACGCUACAGAUGAAUGGUGGUCACUCCGCAAGGGGUACAAAACCCGGCUUAUCGGUGCACAGGAGAA
RNAcentral lists this RNase P RNA (524 nucleotides) under Alphaproteobacteria bacterium. RNAcentral's name for it is "RNase P RNA component class A". It matches the Rfam family "Bacterial RNase P class A". Rfam says of the family: Ribonuclease P (RNase P) is a ubiquitous endoribonuclease, found in archaea, bacteria and eukarya as well as chloroplasts and mitochondria. Its best characterised activity is the generation of mature 5'-ends of tRNAs by cleaving the 5'-leader elements of precursor-tRNAs. The record is from RNAcentral. Lineage: Bacteria; Pseudomonadati; Pseudomonadota; Alphaproteobacteria.